UACGUAGGGGGCAAGCGUUAUCCGGAUUUACUAGGCGUAAAGGGCAGGCAGGCGGAUCCAUAAGUUUAUCGUUUAAGGCGUCGGCUUAACCGGCGUAGGGCGGUAGAUACUGUGGAUCUGGAAUGCGGUUGGGGAAGACAGAAUUCCUGGUGUAGCGGUGGAAUGCGCAGAGAUCAGGAGGAAUACCGAAGGCGAAGGCAGUCUUCCAAGCCGUUAUUGACGCUCAACUGCGAAGGUGUGGGUAUCAAACAGGAUUAGAUACCCGGGUAGUCCCUGAGCGGG
This 282-nucleotide ribosomal RNA is filed under the name uncultured prokaryote. RNAcentral's name for it is "partial 16S ribosomal RNA". It matches the Rfam family "Bacterial small subunit ribosomal RNA", at positions 524 to 803 of the family's 1533-position model. The record is from RNAcentral.